RNAcentral lists this long non-coding RNA (367 nucleotides) under Helianthus annuus (common sunflower). RNAcentral describes it as "hypothetical non coding rna". The record is from RNAcentral. Lineage: Eukaryota; Viridiplantae; Streptophyta; Magnoliopsida; Asterales; Asteraceae.
AUGUCUUUAGAUCCCCAUUUUCUAGUUUCUCUUUUGUGAAGACAUUCAAGGGUCGAUUUUUCUUAACUUGAAGGUAUUUUCUUCCAUUACGCAUCUUUGAUUUGUUGUUUUAUCAGUUUCCAAUAUAAAAAUAAUCAAAUGGAUCAUCGAACGCCCAUAUUGAUUUGGAUCUAAACUGAUCACGAUUUCGGAUCAAAAGUUUUUCCUUCUCACCGUUUGGGUAUUAUUAUCUAAAUAAACUUGUAUAUGAGGUUCUAGUUCUAAACAUAAAUAAUAACGAUGUGUUCUUCUGUUAAUUUCCACUUGUUCUUUCGAUGUAACCCAAUAAAAUAUAAACCUAUGCUAUUGAGAAGAUACAUAUAGUCAA